UUCAGCUUCCCCUCCCCCCUUUCUCUUCAGAAAAGGGGAGGCCUCCCAUGGAUACCAACCAGCCUUGGCAUUGUCACCCGGCAGUAAGAUUAGGCACAUCUCCUGUUGAGGCUAUCAGAGACUCAGUAGGGGGAAAUGGUCCUGAAGGUGCGGCAGGAAAUGGCUGACCCCUCACCCUGCCCCUGCAGUGACCUCAACCCUGCUCCUGAGGACCACCCUCCCCGCUGCCUAAGGCGGACCCAUGAUCACCUCUCCAGGUUGGCCGCCAAACACCAGAGGAUGAAGCGCAAACGCAGCGGUUACUGCAACCCAGUUCUUUCAUUCAGAAGGUGAAGGUCACUUAAGCUUUCAUUGUUGCCUUCAAGUUUGUUCGAGAGAGAAUGGAUAAUCAAUAGUGACAGCACUGAAGUCCAAUCUGUCCAGAACUAGAGCUUGGUCUAGUACAGACUAAAGAUAAAAGAAAAAGAUGUGUAGCAUGUCCAACAAUGGGAAGAAAAUUUCCAAGGUCUUCUAGAAAUAGAAAUUUUUUUUUUCUACUUGGUCUAUUUGUGUGGUCUUGGCUUUCCAAAAGGGACUCAAGCUCUGAGUGCAGAUUCACAGCAAGUUCUAUAGUCUCUGUUCAACCCCUCUCUCUGCUUACCAGGUCUCAGGGCAGAGCCCUGGAGAGGCCCUUCAAUGAAUACUUACGGAAUUGCACACUAGCCCAGGCAUUUGGCUUGUCCUUUACAUUUUAAUGUUUCAGUUUUACAUCUUGAUGGAUCCACUCCAUCCUUCUCAGCUCUUACCCUACUGCUCAUGGCUGAGCUGUGAUGUACUGGGAAUGUCUGCGUUUAACACCUAUGUCAACAACCCUGUCUAGCAUCUAGGAUCACAGUAAGAAGAAACAAAGGCAUCUUGAGAAAAAAAAUACAUGAAAAAAUAUGUAAAUAUAUAUAUAUACACACACACACACAUAUAUAUGUGUGUGUACUGUGCCAUAGGCAUGAUCCUCACACUAAAUAAACAAGUUAAUAAGAUGUAAUAAAAAAAUUAAACAACAGGUUUGAUAUCAUGGUGGUUUGAAUGAGAAGUGCUUCUCACAGGCUCAUGAAUGAAUUAAUUAAAUAAUUAAUCAAUUAACUUUAUUGCCCCACCGAAGUGUUCCCUCCCGUAUCUCCUCCCAGUCCUUCCCCCUGGCCUUGAACUUAGAAAUCUGCCUACCUCUGCCUCCCGGGUGCUGGGAUUAAAGGCAUACACCACCACAUUCAGCUUGAAAAUAUUUUUUGAACACAUUAAAAAAUGUAACAUAAGUCUUUGACUUUUCCUAGAAGAGAAACGCAUCAGAGAAGUUAGAUUAACUCAGCAGGUAUAAUAAUAAGCUCAUACAAAUUGAAGUAAAAUACAAAAAAGUAGGGACAUUAAUGUGAGACCAGAAUGUUUUCAAGUCUAGAGCAUUGAUUAAUUUGAAUAUGCAGUAAAAAUCUACAGGCGUUACAUGAAAGCCACAGCUGCAAAGAGAACCUUGAAAGUUCUUACCCUGUUCUAAACUACAAAGACUCUGAGAAAACAUUAUGGGUUGAUUGGGUUUUGUUUUGUUUUAUUUUGUUUUGUUUUUUGCUUUUUUAUCAUUUUUGCAUCAAACUUAGAAAACAACUGCAAAAGAGACACUCUGAAAUCCACAGAGGCAGAAAAGUGAAGAUGUUUUCUGAAGUAGCUUGAAGAAGAGAAACAGUGCUUGUUUUAUCAAUGGGGGUCACACUCAGCCACCCUUAUCUUCUUCCCCUGCACCCUAGAUCACCCCAAAGCAGCAGAGUCAUAUGGAAACCAAGAUCACCUUAUCAGCGAAGUCCAUAAUUGCAAGGGCUGAUGUGGGUGUGAUGGCUAAUGUUGGUUGUCGACUUGGCACACUUGGGAAGAGGGAACCUCAUCUGAAAAUUGCCUUCAUCAGACCUGUUUGUGGGACAUGAGUGUUAGUUGUUGGAGGAGGGAUUAGUCCACUAUGGGUGGUGCUACCCUUAGGCAGAUAAGUUUGGGAUGUAUAAGGAGGGAAGCUGAGCAUGAGUCUGGGAGCCAGGCAGUAAGCAGCACUUCUUCAUGGCUUCUGCAUUAGCUCCUGCCCUGAGUUCCUGGCCUGACUUCCCUCAGUGAUGGAUUGUAGCUUGAGAACUGUAAGAUGAAAGAAAACCUUUGCUCUUUGGACAAAAGACAAGUACAACAAUAUCUCUCAAGGCAAAGUGAGGCUUGCUGCAAAAUCCUCCUUUUGGGUGUUAGAGCAGAGUACCAAUUCUUUGUUUCAGUCUUUUUGUCUGAAUUCCUUCUGAACAGAACCUAAUGCCCUCCAAGGAGAUGAGAGACCUCAAAGUGAACAGGGAGAUUCUGUGUCAGCGCGGCAGGACAGCAGCGCAUGAGGGACUGUGCAAAUACUUAUGCCGUCAUACUUUCUCACUAAAUAAGAAGAAUUAAAAUAACUCACUCAUUUAUUUAACAACAGCAAAAACCUAGAAAAAUAACAAUCGAAUGAACAAACAACAACAACAAAAGAACAGAAUAAACCCAAGGAAGAAGAAUGGAGUAAUAAAAAAGAAAUUAAUAAAACUUGAAAAGUGUAAUUGGUAAGUAAUUCAAGUACUAGUUCUUUGAUAAGGAUAAUAAAAAUGGAUGUCAGAAUAACAUUAAUAAAAUUUUAAAAUAAUUGUAUAAAAUAGAAAGAAUAAAAACAGAUACUAAACUUUAUUAAAACUGAAAGUGGUACAAUAUAGUUUAUGAUAACAUAUUUCAGUGUCAUGCAGUGUCCAGACCUCUAGGUAUAAAACACCAAAGCAAAAUUUAUGUUCAAAACAGAUAUGCACAGAAAACAAACCAAACCCUUGACAUUCACUUAUGAAAUCCCCUUACACACUGUACCCUUUUAAAAGAGAGUCUAAGCAUGGCUUUAUCAUCAAUUCUUGUUUUUUUUAACUUAAAUAUUUAACAGUAAAGGUGUUAUUAUUAGAAGAGGGGGUGUUAUUGAUUAAAGGACAGCAUGUCCCCCAAAUUCAAAGCAAAUCUCAGAGCAUCCAGAGCCAGUUUACAGGCUCAGAAGACAUGUGUUAAAACUAAGAAUUAAAAUAGUAUGCACUCAUGACACACAGCAAGAAGGCACUAACUUUGGACAGCAAAGGGAAUGAGGCCAAGCUAAGCAGAAAAACUUGUAAUACAUUUACAUCCUCACUUUGUAGAAGGUGAAAAAUGCUGAUACAGGUGCAAAACAAGUUGACUGUGAGUGUCACAAGCCUGAAGAAGAUAAGAAGGAAGAGAGAGGCACAGGAUUGCAUGGCUUAUUCAGGGGACACAUGAAAAGUGAGGCAAACAGAAUCACUGGUAGGGGACCCAAUGAGACCUGAGGAAAGUCAGCUGGCACAGGCCAAAGGAAGGGUGAUUUCAAGAACCAGCAAAUGACUGCUUAGUAUGCGCAGUGAUGUGGGUGCCUGGAGUCCUGGUAGCAUCAGGUCUAAAUAAAGCAUUGUGAGAAUCACAACCAGGUAGGUCAGGUGGCAAAUGAGUUUCUUUAGCCAUUGACCUCAGACAGCAUUCCCAAAGAUUCUCAUGAAGAGGCAAAGAGAGACAUGAACAUGGGAGGCAGUAUGCCACAGGAACAUGGGAGGCAGUAUGCCACAGGCAGCGAGAAGAGUUUAUACCACCAGUGACUCCAUGAGGAAGAUGAUCUGGAUUUGGACCUCCUUGGUUGAUUUUCCUCUACAUCCUCUCUCUAAUAAACCAUGACUGUAAGUCUCAAUAGCUUUCUCACCAA
Long non-coding RNA from Mus musculus (house mouse), 3769 nucleotides. RefSeq annotates it as predicted gene 12292. The record is from RefSeq and is a predicted model, not a curated record. Lineage: Eukaryota; Metazoa; Chordata; Mammalia; Rodentia; Muridae. The transcript has 2 exons.